GGAGGUGUUCCUUGAGGAGUGGCUUCCGGAGCUAACGCGUUAAGUCGACCGCCUGGGGAGUACGGCCGCAAGGUUAAAACUCAAAUGAAUUGACGGGGGCCCGCACAAGCGGUGGAGCAUGUGGUUUAAUUCGAUGCAACGCGAAGAACCUUACCUACUCUUGACAUCCAGAGAACUUAGCAGAGAUGCAUUGGUGCCUUCGGGAACUCUGAGACAGGUGCUGCAUGGCUGUCGUCAGCUCGUGUUGUGAAAUGUUGGGUUAAGUCCCGCAACGAGCGCAACCCUUAUCCUUUGUUGCCAGCGCGUGAUGGCGGGAACUCAAAGGAGACUGCCGGUGAUAAACCGGAGGAAGGUGGGGAUGACGUCAAGUCAUCAUGGCCCUUACGAGUAGGGCUACACACGUGCUACAAUGGCGCAUACAAAGAGAAGCGACCUCGCGAGAGCAAGCGGACCUCACAAAGUGCGUCGUAGUCCGGAUCGGAGUCUGCAACUCGACUCCGUGAAGUCGGAAUCGCUAGUAAUCGUGGAUCAGAAUGCCACGGUGAAUACGUUCCCGGGCCUUGCACUCCCCGGCCCGUCAAAA
RNAcentral lists this ribosomal RNA (583 nucleotides) under Enterobacterales bacterium. RNAcentral describes it as "bacterial SSU rRNA". It matches the Rfam family "Bacterial small subunit ribosomal RNA", at positions 820 to 1402 of the family's 1533-position model. Lineage: Bacteria; Pseudomonadati; Pseudomonadota; Gammaproteobacteria; Enterobacterales. The record is from RNAcentral.